AUGUCAGUUUGCUUGUCAGCCCCCGGCUGUGGUUUUGAUGUUAUUUCCUCCCUUCUUUCAGCAGGAUGUCUUUGCUGCAGAAGGACAGAAAUGCCGCGGCGUGACAGCUCCUCUUUCCCAGCCAGGGCUGCGCAUGUGAGCAAGGGGCUCCGGCAGCGGCCGGGCGCACGAGGGAUGGGCAGGCAGACAUCAGGCAGACAGGCAUCACAUCUCCUGGCCGGGCUGAUGCCAGGAAAGGAAAGGAGGUGUCAGGGCAUCUGUCAGGCCCCAAAGCAGCAGUUGGCAGAUUUAAAAGUGAAAUGUGCAAACGGGGGAUGUCCGCGCUCCAGUGGCCUCUCCAGGCACCAAGCAGGAGGAUGCCGCACGCAUCCAGGGUGCUGUGCUGGCCCCUCGGCUCCUGUUUGCCCACGGCUUCUCGUGAGUCAAUGGUGUGCAUGUUGUGUGUAAUCUUCGGUGAUGGGCUGCUGAUCUUCUACACUGUUUGUGCCAGCCCAGCCUCGGAGAGCCCCACCUGAGCAGCUUUUCCUUCUGGUGCUCCCGGAGAUAAGUACAAGCUGCUCUGUCUGUCUGUGUAUGUGUGUAUAGGUAUGUCCGUGCAUACGCCUGUGUGUAUAUAUAUAUAGUGUUGUCUUGGAUCAUUAGAGGUUAUUACCUAAAUCUUUUCACAUUUGUGUCUGCCAGGCAAUGAGCAAGUAUUAUUAAAACAGGGCUGCUUAAAUGAAAGCAGCUGGAGAAUAGUUUUCAUUACAAGGCUGCCAAAUUAUUUGAGCAAUCUCCUCACCUUACCUCAGGCCUACCCAGGGGCAGCAACUCAAAUGCCAGAAACUCAUUUCUGUUGUUUUACUUUUAUUUUUUCAUUCAUUCAUAUGCACAAGUUGAUAUACAUAAAUAUAUGUAUGUGUAUUUUUAUACAUAUGUAGACAGACACCGAUUAUACCUAUAUAUAAAGACCUUAAAGAUCUUCAAAAAUGUACAUUCAAAAUAUAUGUAGAAUUAUAACAGUAUAAAUGUACACAAUGAAUAGCACGAAAAUAUAACAUAUUG
RNAcentral lists this long non-coding RNA (1044 nucleotides) under Falco tinnunculus (common kestrel). RNAcentral describes it as "lncRNA (ENSFTIG00000013484.1)". The record is from RNAcentral. Lineage: Eukaryota; Metazoa; Chordata; Aves; Falconiformes; Falconidae.